RNAcentral lists this ribosomal RNA (370 nucleotides) under uncultured bacterium. Its description in RNAcentral is "bacterial SSU rRNA". It matches the Rfam family "Bacterial small subunit ribosomal RNA", at positions 29 to 428 of the family's 1533-position model. The record is from RNAcentral.
AGCGAACGCUGGCGGCAGGCUUAACACAUGCAAGUCGAACGGGCACUUCGGUGUCAGUGGCAGACGGGUGAGUAACGCGUGGGAACAUACCUCUUGGUUCGGAACAACACAGGGAAACUUGUGCUAAUACCGGAUAAGCCCUUACGGGGAAAGAUUUAUCGCCGAGAGAUUGGCCCGCGUCUGAUUAGCUAGUUGGUGUGGUAAAAGCGCACCAAGGCGACGAUCAGUAGCUGGCUGAGAGGAUGAUCAGCCACAUUGGGACUGAGGCACGGCCCAAACUCCUACGGGAGGCAGCAGUGGGGAAUCUUGCGCAAUGGCCGAAAGGCUGACGCAGCGACGCCGCGUGUGGGAGGACGCCUUUCGGGUGUAA